AAAUCAAGUAUAAACACAGGAAAAGCGUAUGGAUUUUGGUAUGUAAAAGCACAUAAUUUCACAUGUCCUGUAAUACAUAUAGUUCUAUAGGAAGCAUCGACUUGGACCUUUCAUUAAGGAGAAUUGCUGAAGCAAAUAACCAGGAUUUUACAUUAUCACAAUAUGACUUACAGAACACUGAGAUCGACAUCGACCCUGAAAAUAACUUCUUUACUAGAGCUACUAAUGACUGUCAAUAUUAUACAGAGGAUCUUUACAAUAGUAAACUUAAGAACAUUAAGGCAUUCACUGUAAUCCACUUCAAUAGUCGAAGCCUCUAUGCAAACUUUAACCACAUCAAAAGCUUCUUAAAACAGUUUUCUAAACCAUUUAGUGUAAUUUUAAUCACAGAAACAUGGAUUAAUAAUGACAGAGAAAUUGAGUUUUCUAUUGAUGGUUAUGAAUUUAUAAGUAUGAACAGAAGAAACAAGCAUGGUGGGGGUGUAGCUAUGUUUGUAGACUCAAACUACAGCUAUAAAGUAAUGGAAAAUAAGACUAUGGUAGUGGAUGAUGCACUUGAAUGCCUUACUGUAGAAAUUACAAGGCAAAAAAAGAAAAAUAUUAUUGUAAGUUGUAUUUAUAGAACACCUGGCGCUGAUAUAGAUGUUUUUUCUAAUUGGAUGGAGGAGCACUUUUCAGGUUUAAAUCAUAAAGUCAUGUUUGUGGGGGGAGACCUUAACAUCGAUCUGUUAAACCCAUAUAAACAUAAAAAGACGGACGAAUUUAUAAAUACUUUAUUUAGUAUAGGUCUGUUUCCUCUAAUAACUAAACCGAGUAGAAUCACAACCCACAGUGCGACUUUGAUUGAUAACAUUUUCUCAAAUGAAAUAGAUAGUGAUACAGUCAGUGGUUUAAUGAUAAAUGAUAUUAGUGAUCACCUGCCAGUUUUUGUAUUGUACAAAAAUGGAUAUUUAAAUAUUGAUGAUGAAAAAAUGUAUUGGUUUAGAAGGGUAAAAACAGAAAAAACUAUUGAGGUAUUUAAAAAGGAACUAUUAGCUCAAGACUGGAGUAUUGUAUAUAGAGAGAAUGAUACUAAUAAGGCAUAUGAUGAGUUUACG
This 1097-nucleotide long non-coding RNA is filed under the name Neogobius melanostomus (round goby). RNAcentral describes it as "lncRNA (ENSNMLG00000013676.1)". Lineage: Eukaryota; Metazoa; Chordata; Actinopteri; Gobiiformes; Gobiidae. The record is from RNAcentral.